AGCUACAGGCUUAACACAUGCAAGUCGAGGGGAAACGACAUCGAAAGCUUGCUUUUGAUGGGCGUCGACCGGCGCACGGGUGAGUAACGCGUAUCCAACCUGCCCACCACUUGGGGAUAACCUUGCGAAAGUAAGACUAAUACCCAAUGACGUCUCUAGAAGACAUCUGAAAGAGAUUAAAGAUUUAUCGGUGAUGGAUGGGGAUGCGUCUGAUUAGCUUGUUGGCGGGGUAACGGCCCACCAAGGCGACGAUCAGUAGGGGUUCUGAGAGGAAGGUCCCCCACAUUGGAACUGAGACACGGUCCAAACUCCUACGGGAGGCAGCAGUGAGGAAUAUUGGUCAAUGGGCGAGAGUCUGAACCAGCCAAGUGGCGUGCAGGAAGACGGCCCUAUGGGUUGUAAACUGCUUUUAUAAGGGAAUAAAGUGGGUCACGUGUGACUUUUUGCAUGUACCUUAUGAAUAAGGACCGGCUAAUUCCGUGCCAGCAGCCGCGGUAAUACGGAAGGUCCGGGCGUUAUCCGGAUUUAUUGGGUUUAAAGGGAGCGUAGGCCGGAGAUUAAGCGUGUUGUGAAAUGUAGACGCUCAACGUCUGCACUGCAGCGCGAACUGGUUUCCUUGAGUACGCACAAAGUGGGCGGAAUUCGUGGUGUAGCGGUGAAAUGCUUAGAUAUCACGAAGAACUCCGAUUGCGAAGGCAGCUCACUGGAGCGCAACUGACGCUGAAGCUCGAAAGUGCGGGUAUCGAACAGGAUUAGAUACCCUGGUAGUCCGCACGGUAAACGAUGGAUGCCCGCUGUUGGCCUGAAUAGGUCAGCGGCCAAGCGAA
This 827-nucleotide ribosomal RNA is filed under the name uncultured bacterium. RNAcentral describes it as "bacterial SSU rRNA". It matches the Rfam family "Bacterial small subunit ribosomal RNA", at positions 38 to 855 of the family's 1533-position model. The record is from RNAcentral.